GCCAAUACAGAUCAGUGACAACCCCAACAUUUCUUUGACACACAUACUUAUAUUUUGAAGCUUAUAACCAAGAUAGUGAAAACCACCCUCUCUGUUCUUAUAUGUGCGACACCAAGGGACCAUCAACUUGGUUGCCAUCUCUUUCUACUCCAAAAAAUAAGGGGUUAGCAAACCACCGGGGUUGGAGGUCUCGCCAGAAAAUAUCACGUGUUCUCGACCACGGUGAUGAUCGGAAAACCCGUACAAAACCUCAAUGCCCUUUUAUGUUUCAAUAACAAGCCGCUGGGGAAACCAAAACAUACCGGAGUUUCGUGGGAAGAACUAGCCGAGGUCCACCCGCGUCGUUUUCAAAUUAUAGCACACCGAGCACGCCGUCGGAAAAUAACCGAAGCCACCGGAGCCGCACGGGAUCGACUGCAACUCGUUCCUUCCUCGUUUUCGUUCACCGAGAACAUCGCCAAAGUUCGAAACUCGCUGGAGGUCGGAGUUCCGCUGGAGCCGUACGGAGAUCAACAUGAGCCCUUUCUAUGUUUCGGAUAACCAUUACGUUCGUUCCCUUGGAUUCACGAUCCUUACUCGUGCGUUGUUUCAAGAAUUCUCACACGCAACCAACGUUGAUGAGGACGAUGCUAAGAAAAGAAAUAGCGUUGAUGCCUAGAUACACAUAUAG
Long non-coding RNA from Helianthus annuus (common sunflower), 670 nucleotides. RefSeq lists it as uncharacterized. The transcript is spliced from 3 exons. NCBI's taxonomy places the organism in Eukaryota, Viridiplantae, Streptophyta, Magnoliopsida, Asterales, Asteraceae. The record is from RefSeq and is a predicted model, not a curated record.